CUUCACACAUCAUUUGCGCAGCGAAUGUCGCGUUGACGUCUCAUCAUGAUUUUUUGCCCAUUCGAUCAAAAUUAACGUGGAAACUCAUCGAAAAUGUAUAAAUUCCUUUGUGCCAACAUCACCAAGCCCCGUAACGUAAGUAACGCAUACAAAAAACUCGUGCAAGCCCAAAAAGUACACCAAGACAGUAGCAAACCUUCUUCAGCACCCGGACAAAAAAGACCCACGACAGAAGGCCAACAUGAGGAAAAUCAGGAGUUUGAAGAUGAAAAUAUGACCAACAGGCCUUCUACUAGCCCCUCGCAUCUACAAAGGUCCACAGCCCUCCCACCUGUGUCACUGCCGACCUUUAAACCGUUUCCUGAAGUCACCCCAUUAAAAAUGAAAUCUUAUCCAAAGUUUUAUACGGGCCAUUUUAUCCGGAUUGACCCACCUACCCCUAGUAUAUCCAAGAAGUACUACCACGUGUACUCGAUUAACGGGCCGUCAUUGAAACGUUCCAACGGAUCGUUAAAAACGAAGAAAUUAACGGAGCAGGAUAGGGAGAAUUAUUUGUCGGCUUUGGAGAGUCUCCAUGAUAUUGAGAGGAAUAAGUCGGGUUUUCAGUUUAAGGCUGUCCACAGACCCAGUAAAGCAGGAACUGCCGUAAACGAGGCCUAUCUAAAACAAUUUAACAAGAAAAAAUUCCAAAAGGCGGAUUCAAACGGCUCUAUCCGCUACCCCACCCACACCAUCAAACACACCCUUAAAAUAAACAGACGGUAUAAGAUACGACAAGAAUCAGCAGAACGGCGCAUCAAAGAGCUGGAAGAAAAGCACAGAAAGAAGUACCACAUGAAAAUGUUUAUGCCCCCGCCGCCCACCAAAAAGAUCACUUACCCCACCUUGGUGGAGCACAUAAAAAAAGGCAAACUAAAAAUCCCCAUGCCAGAGAAAAAAUAUCUGGAAAAAGGCCCUGUAGAGGCCUCAGAAGCUAACCAAGAACCCCAUGAGGAUGUGACUCUGGAGCAGCCCCAGGAUGCACUGGAACAUGACUUUGACUCUCUGGUAAGAAGCCACCCCACCAUCGAAAACGCCAGCAAGGAAGUGAAAAUGAAGCUGAAAACCAAGUUCAUUCAGCUGCUAAUAAAAACCGCCAGAAGCCCCAGGUUUAGAUCAGAGCGACAACUCGCUGCAAUCGAGUCAAAGCAAGAAGAAUCCGCAGCCCUGGUGCCAGUCUCUCAAGAAACUUCUCCUGAGAAAGCAGUCAUAAUUCCAGAAGAUGCUGAAGAGUUAAUAGUCUCCCACCCGAAGAAGUGGACAAAACCUCCAGUUUCCCUGGAAGAUAGUUACCACGUGAUCUACCGCUACCCCAGGCGAGUCUACGUGGAUGAGCCUUCCAAAUAUGAGGUGGACAAGGUGUGCGUCAAAGAAUCCGGAGUAAGAAUAAGUUCAGAUCCCACACCAGCAGAAGAACAACGCCUUCCACCAACCCUUUACACCACAAAUCACUUAUCCACCCCUGAAGCAGUAAAAUAUAUCGAAAAUAAAAACGCGGAAGCCAUCAAGCAACUAAACUGGGGCAAAGAGGGUCACAACCAAGCAAAGAUCGAACAACUUAAAGAAGAACGUCUGCUACUCCUAAAAGAACUGGACAAGUUGAGUGUGAAAUUCAGCUCCACAGCAGAAGAAAAAGAGGACAAACCUCCUUCCGAAUGCGAAUGGAGGGAGGGAAACAAGGAGUUUACCAAAGAACAAGCUGAGAAACUAAGAAGAAUAUUACUUGGGCAGUUCCAUGUCGUGCAACCGUCUGUGGAGCCAGAGAACAAUCCCAAGUGGCCCUGGAAUAAAAAUAAAACUAAUCCAGAAUCGACUGAGGCAAGCAAAGAAACUGAAGCAGCACCAUCUUGUAUAGAACAAGAAGAAAAUGUGCAAGAGCAAGAAGCUGCAGCAGGAGAAGUUGAUGCUGAAGAAGCUUCACACGACGAAAAAAAAGAUGACGUAAUGCUUUGCCAAGAAGGGUUAGAAGAAAAGUCGAAAGUGGACGAGCUGAACGAGAUAGCUAAAGAGAGAGAGAAGGUUUCCAGAAAGGAAAAACUAAGACAAGAACAGCAAAGGAAACGUAAAGAGAUUCGGGAGCUGAACGAUGAAAAGUAUACUAGAAAGACUUAUAUACCACCCAGGGUGGAUAAGAUUGAUGAUAUGUUGGACGAGAAGGUUGAAAUCGGAGAAAAAGUCAAAGAACAAAUUGAAAAGCUGAUUCCAGGCAGGCAAGUUAAUCAACCGUCCUUACCAGAAAGUACUAUACUUGCUGCAGCUCCUGCUGCUAAAGAAGAACCGACGACCAUCGAAGAAAAAACAAAAAUCGAGGAGCUUCAAGAAAUGGCUGAAGAUUUGGCGAAAAAAUCCGCGGGACAGGAGCAAAGUAGUGGUUAUAACCAACCUGAAACAAAGAGAAUCAUAAAGAAGUUCUUUAAGAAUCGAGAGAACGAGAAGAAGAUUGAGCAGGACCAGAAAGUGAAGAAUGACGUGAAAGAGUUUUUCCAGAAGAAGCGACAGCAGUGGGGACUUGGUGCGAAGCAAGUUUCGCAGGAACAGGAAGAAGAACGUGAUGAAUUUCAAGGCCGGUCAGAAGUAUCUGAACCGGCUCAGGUUUUAUCAAAACCCCAAGAAUUACCAAUAGUUUUUGAACAGAGUACACCGCCUGAAAAGGAUACAAAAGAUAAAAAGGAGGAAGAUAAGAAGGAGGAAGAAACUCCCAAAGACGAUUCGGAAAAACGAGCAGAAGACGAACGUCAUAGGCUGCAAAAGGACAAAACAACGCAUGACCGUCCUUUAUAUCCUACGGGACCAAUGUGUGAGAAAGAAAAAGACAACAUAGACAAAAACCUGCUGACCUCAGCGUUAGAAGAAAAAUCCCUCGUCGUCUCCGAACAGACGGUCCAAGAAAAUUUCCCACAAAUUAAAGGGAUCUAUUAUGCCACCGAGGAGAAAAGUGUGCCAGAAGAGUUUGUUGAAAAAUACGUGGAUCCUAACGCGGUAAGUACGGACAUAAUGGCCAAAGAGAAGAUGGUGAUCAACAAUAUCGAGGAAACCAAAGUAAAUGAACAGCUGGAUGCAGCAGUUUUACGACCUGGAGACGAAAUCCUCAUCUACGAAAAUAAUGGGGCGCAAACCAAAACCGACGUGGUAAAAGUCGAUACCAGUCCGGAUAAACAGGCGGAAUGCACCCAGCUGACGAUGAACAUUCUGGAUAAGGCGCUGACUCUUAGGAACGAGCUGGCCCUCUCUGAAUCCCGAGUUUUACUGGACACCAAGAAGCAAAUCGAUGAGAUGAUGGAGAAGAUCAAGAACCUCGAGGAAAUGCUGAAGAAACAGGAAGCGAGCUGGCGGCCCGAUGAGAUAAUGUCUGAGAAUAAGAUUAGGGUGCCCACGCCCCAACCCCCUCCAGACAAGGAUAAAGCUAAGGACAGCAAAAAGGAUAAGUCGAGGGACAAGAAUGCUUUGAUUUUACCCCCCAAGGUGCAAGGGUCCAAACCUGAAAAGUCUGCUAAAGAUCUCGAGGAGUUUAAUUGUAAAGAAAGAGAGCAGGUUGGGGAGCUAACUAAACCACCAGAAACUGAUCCAGAUCCAAUUAGGCUAAGCACCUCUCCCCCAAAAACACUGGAAACCAAAAUGACAUUUCGUCCCAGGCCAAAGCUGACUUUCCAAGACAUCAUAAACCCCCAGAAGCCCACCCUUAAAAGUACCACCCCAAAAAACGAUAACCAGAAUACUUUACUCAGUAAAGCAGUGAAUAGCAGACUGUCCAAAACCCUUCACAGCUCGGUGGUGAACUUGGACAAAAAAAAGGACUCUGAGGAGUGGAAAUGGUCCAGGAGCAUGAGCAAACUGGAUAAGGUCAAUGCCAUGCUCCAAAACUCCACAGCAUUAUUAGAGAAGGCGAAGGUUGGGCACGAACUUUCAAAUGUUAUAGCAAUUGAAGAAAUAAAGAAAAACCAGGUGGAGUUUAACAAGGAUAAUGCAACUGAGAAGGAAAAUUCUAUCGAUAUAUCAAAGCUUUUACACGGUAAAGCUGAAAAGGAAUCUAAAGUAAUUGACCCUAAACGCUUAUUUCACAAAGUUAAGCAAGCUGCUGAAAAAAAACUUACACCACAACUGGAGAAACAAUUUAACGCUAAAGCUCGCCAAUAUUUAAUGAAUCAAGCCAAACUGGAUGAUUUAGCUGCACCUAAGAUCGAUGUUCUGGAAAAAUCCACUUCAGAGGAGAAGGUUGGGAUAAUUACAAAAAUACCGAAACUACUUGACUCCAAAAGUCUAUUUCUUAAUGUAAAACAUGCUGCCGAAAAAAAAGUGAAAACAGAGGAGCAAUUAAACGUUAAGGCAGGCCAGUAUUUCACCAAUCAAUCCAAAUUGGAUGGUUUAGAUGGGGCAGGGGUUGAUGUAUUGGCAGAACCCGCGAUAGAAAAGGGGAUUCAGGAAGACUUUGCUCUAUCCAAAGGCUGUUUGAGCAAACCCACCCUGGAAGAGAAAGACGUAGGGGCAAAAGUGCAAAAGUACUUUAAAGACAAAGUAUACAAGAAGUCUGAUGUGGGCGAAGGCGUCAAUAACUUAGCAGCUUCUGAUCAAGAAAAUUCUUCAAUCUUAAAAAAUGCCGCGGAAACUUUGAAGGAGAUUUCUCAGUCCCAGCAAGCAAAAUCUCUCGAUGGUACUCAGGCAGCAAAACUAAAACGUACCGAAAAAAGCGACUUGGUUGAAUUGGAAUUUAAGCCAGAUCCCUUAGAAAAACAUACACAACACACUGAAGAGGAAUUAUUGGCAGACGAAGAGCUUCCUGUAGACCCUUUGAGCAAACCAGCUUUGGAACAGGAAGACGUUGACUUAAAAGUGCGCCACUAUUUCCAGAACAAGUUUGGAAAACUAGAGGCGACAGUUGGAUCUAAAUCAAAUCAAAAUCCUCCUGCUGUUGAAAAUCCUAUAAUAAAUGAAUCUCUCACUUCCGGAAGCAAACCUAAAGAAAAACAAGUUUCAAACACUUUAAAGAGUGAGGCAGAUGCCAAGUUGGUGGAAUUAGACUUUAAACCAGAUACUUUAGAGAAACUUGCUAAAGAGGAGCCAUUGACGGAAGACUAUGUACCUACUGUGGACCCUUUGAGUAAACCAGCUCUGGCACAAGAGGACGAUGAUGCAAAAAUCCGGAAAUAUUUUGAAAAUAAAUUGGCAAAGGAAAAACCAACUGGCAAGAAACUGAUUUUUUCGAAAAAUUUUAGCACGGAACAAGGCCCUGACAGUGGGAAGACUUUAAAAGCUAAAAGUGUGGGCGCAAGACCCAAAGUUUUUAUGAAACCGUUAAAGAACGUUAAAAUGUCUUGCUCACCCUCUACUGGUUUAAGGAGUGUCAGUUGUCCAGGAAAAGCCCAGUCGCAAGCAAUACAGGAAACAAAAACCCAAUUUUCCAGUUGGUCCUCCAAAUCCGGCCACCAAAUCACCAGGAACAUGGGCAAAAUCUUCUCUCUGGAAGAAGUAAAAAAGACACAUGCAAGACGUCCUGCCUCACAUACUUCACAAAACGCUGAUAAACCUCCCUAUAAGCCACAAAAACCUGUAAAAAACUAUUUAUCAAAAGAACCUUCUCCAAACCAUUUAAAUCAAGAAAAAGACCGCCAAAUGAAGCUUAUCACUCAAGAUCAUGAGGUAGAAGAAGACAGAGAAGUUGUGGCGAUUACUGCAGAAGAAAAACCAGUAGUCUUCUGGCCCAACAAGAAUCAAGAGGCAGAGGUUUUGCAAAAGAAGGAACCGAGGAAAAUUUCGGAGUUAGCCGAGGAGUUCCAGGAAACCCUUAAGGCGAUUCCCAAGGUGUACUACCCGAGUAAAGACAAAAACCUGGAUAAAUCGAGCAAGAACGGCGCCAUAAUCAAGAUGUCUCCUAAGAAAGUAAUUCUUAAACCGAAAACCAGAAAAGUAUUGGAAAUGUCUUCUUGUAAAGCCGAUGAGAAUUUACAACAAAACGAGUCUUUGGGGAUCAUGAGGGUUACUUUACCCUUGAAGCGAGAACAACGGGAGGAAGGCCGGUUGUCUCUAGCAGCUGAUGGGAGAAGACCGAAAGACAAAUACGCCAACGACAGUAGACUGUUUAAAGGAAGUGGUGUGUCUGAUGUUGGUCUAAAAAUUGAAAAAAAUAAGAAUGUGGCCAAGGCUGGUAUAUCCACCACCUCAGUCCUAUGUGACAACAAAGACCUGGAGGAUGAUUUUUCCGGACUCAACCAGAAGAAGAACAACAAAAAAUCGCCCAAAGAAAAGACCGCCAUCUUCAGGAUAAUGAAAAACGACGAGAUUUUUAUAGUUAAAAACGCGGAGGAAGAUGAAAACCCGGGGGAAAAACCGAAAAAAGCGAGCGGUCUCUCGGACCAGAAAAAAACGGUGGAUCAUUUGGUGGAGCAGCUAAUCACCCUGAAAGAUGACCAUGUUGCCAAAGUUAACUUGACACCCAAAAGAGAGCUCAGCACCAUUUUUGUAGCUACAACCGGGUCAAACCAUAAAGGCUACAUGGGAGAUUUGAUUUUUAAGAACCAAAGACUAGUUGAUACCAGUGAGAAAAUUAAGGAGGUGGUGCUAGAAACGCUUCCUCCAAUAACCAAACCAAAGAUCCACCAGACAUUGGACCAUACGUUGAAGGUAACCACAAGCAAAAUCAAACCUAAGGAGAAGCUGAUGGCCAAGGUGCAAGAAGUGAUGGAGAAGCCAGUGAAACCAGAAGGUACGGUGUCCCAUCGGUACAAAUCCGAACUAAAACUAUCGAAUUGUCACGACGAUCAUUUUUCGUGGGCUUAUCUUGGUAGCGUAACGUUUCCGAAAGUUUGUUUAAAAGCAAAAAUCGAGACUAUUUACGAGAAAGGCGCGUCCAUAAAGGAGCCGCGCAAGCAAAAAUUGCGGAAGUUCAAUCGGUGGCUGGUUGAGAAUGAAGUUGAGGAACAACGGGAGCCCCUGUUUAACGAUCAGUUUCAAGGAAUCAAGACUGGGUUCUUUGAGCGUGAUCGUGUGUUAUUUCCAGAUGGCCUCCUCAAAUCACAACCACCCCCGCCCCCAUCACCAAUGAUCAAAUCAGAAAUUAUCCUGAAGAAACACACCCGGAAACCGAAACCCGAAAAACCAUCAGAACAAACCAUCCUGAAGAGCAGAAGUGAAUCAGUGGUGAAAACCCCCGUGCCCCAAUCGGCCAAGACCGUAAGAGUUAAGGAGCAACUUUUCCCCAGUGCCCUCACCAUAAAAGUAGAAAAAAACUACUCGGAAUUGCUUAAGAAAAUUGAGAAGAACCUGAGGGAUAAACGGAAGAAAUUGGAAGUCCAAGUAAAUCCACAGAUGGUCCAGCCAAAAGUGCUUGAAGAAACUCCGGCAGAAACAGCCCCUGUGGAUGAUAGCAUGAAAAUCAACAAAUCACAUACGGAACUGUUUGAGAGAAUUGAGAAAAGGUUGCAGGAAAAACGCAGCAUUAAAGCGACAGAAGUGAAACAGAUGAAACCGGAAAAACAACCACUUUUAGCCAACUCGGGCGGCCCAAAAAUGGAGAAAACUUAUACAGAGAUGCUUAAAAAAAUGGAGAAAAGCAUGCACGAUGAAAAAAUAAUUAACAAAUCCGCCAUAAAAUCCCAACAAGCGAAAACACAAUCGAUGUAUACUUUAAGCGUCCCUAAACUAGUGGCACAAAGUCCCAAACCUUUCAGAACAAAAAGCGCAGCCCCUACAAAUAUCCCCAAAGAGAAUCUACAAAUCGAAGUCAAACCCUCAAAUACGAAGAAAAAGGAGGUCAUAAAGCUCUGGCAGAAGGAGAAAGAGAUCGUAUCCAAAGAGAACCUCCAAGAGGAAAUCGAAUGUUGGGCGGGUAAAAAUAACUUGAGGUUUUGCACCAAAAAGUCAACCAAAAUCGGACAAAAAUUGAAAUCGGAAUUCGUGGACGCCAUGAAGAAACACAAGACAGCUGAAGCUUCCAGUGAUGACAAGAAAUAUCCUUUAGACAAAGAGGUGGAUUAUAUGUCAGUGGAUAAAAGUGUUAGGAGGAUAAUCCAGAAAGAGGAGCAAGGGGCGCGUGUCGAGAAACCUGAAGUUACUUUAUUGGAAACCGAGCAGGUGGAUUACAAGGGUGAGCGAUUUAAAAAACAAUUGUCGGAGAAUAUAAGGCAGCGUCUAAAUAGGAGUAAACAAAAAGAAAAUACCAUUAAGAAAAGGAAGAAUACCAAGAAGGACACUAUCAAAGAAAUGAAUGAGACAGCGAAGCACAUAAUAAAAUCGCAGAACGAGAGGCAAUGGCAAGAGCUGUAUAACGGUGGUAAGAAAGGACAGAACGAUGCCAAACUGUCACAACCGAGCGUUGGACCGUGGACGAGAAACACUAAACCAGAAUCCGACAAAGACAAAAAGCACUUUCAUUGCAGCACCAAAGCCUCCAGUUCCUCUAAAGACUCCAAACCGCCAAGUAUGGAUAGGUUAAUGUCAAAGGACGAUUUUUUAAAAUUAAAACAAACAAAGGGAAAACCCGCGAACAAUUUAAAAAAAUCUUAUCUUGCAGAUGAACGUUUGCCAUCCGGAUCUGAAAUAGGGGUCACCAUGUCCUCCCAUCAACAUUGCCAAAUAAUCACUGCGAGUAAAUUAAACCAACCAACUCUUGAAUUCCAACCCAAAUAUACCGAAAUGGAAAUUUAUAAAUAUGAGCUUGAAGCUAAUAAAGACCUACCUACGAUAACAGGCAAGAACGCUCUUGACACCAAUCCAUUGAAAAUCGACUCGAAACAAAAGGAAAUGCUGGAAAAAGUGACAGAUCAAGCGAAAAUUGGGGAUUUAGUGGAGAAUUACUUUAAGCGGAGCCCCAGAAAACCAACGGCAACAGAUCCCAAUAUGGCUUUACACAAACGUAUCGACCAAGAAGUGAAAAAAGAGGCUUCCAGGCCCGACAUCCCACCGCCGAAAAUUGAUCCGGAGGUGCUCAACUUUAAAAUAACCAAAAUGGUGAAAAUGAUGGCGGAAGAUGUGAAAUUUAACGAAGUUAAAGUAACCGUCGGUAAGGGGCGUGAGACGACAACGGUGAAGACCGUGGCACCCGAAAUGGUCGUUAAAAAGCCAAAUGUUGUAGUGAACCCCGUGGAGGAGUUUGUAAAAGAAGCUCCAAAAACUGUAAAUGUCUUGGAUUUAACUAAGGUGGACGAAGGUGCUACUGUUAAAAGUAAUUCAGGGUCCAAAAAUGAAGUUUUAUCAAAAAAAAGUAACUUGGAGCCUAAAGAGGUGCUGCAGUCUAGUCCAGUGGAUGCCAAUGACCCAAAAGCAUCCAAUACCAUAGUCGCUAAACCUGUGAGAUCAGUUUCAAUGAAGAAUGCCAAGAAUGACGAACUGACAAAGUCGCCCGAACCCGAGCAGUCUAGAAGUGAAAAGUUUGCAGAGCGCUUAAAAUCGAUCAACAUGAUGAUGAAAAACUUCAAAGUCAACUCCACCAAGGACCCACACGCCAACAAGAAAACAUCAGAAAAAGAUGAAGAAGCGCGGAAGACUAACGGAGCAAAUUUUCUUUUAAAGCCGCCAUCCCUACCACAUCGGGUAGUAACAAGAAAGAAAAAUAAGAAGCCAAAUAUCUCCUCUAAAAUCCCAAUUCGUCAUCAGUCAACAUGCAAAAAGUUCAUGAAAAACUAUAAAUUCGUCGUCACGGAAGUAAAUCCCCAUCAGACAACGCUGGACAGAAAAGUGGGUCAAGACUUUUCGGUGGUUCCCAAACACGUGAUGGAAACCGAAGAGCGCAUGCGUAAGGCCAGAAAACGGAUGUGCGUCAAAGACCUGCGUGCACCUGAUCCCUUGGACAAGUAUAAACACUUGAAGAUCACUUAUAUGAGUGUGAAGAGGAAGCAGGAUGACGGGGAAAAGGAGCUUUUUAUGCCCAGUAUCGAAAAAAUGGACGAUAAGGAGAUUCAAGACCAGAAAAAGAGAAAGAUUUUAGACUACAGGUUUAAUUGUUCGCCGUCUAUAAGGGUUGUUUGAUUAAUAGUGGCGAGUAAUUCACUAUCAUUUUGUAAUGGCUCGGAAUAAACAAUGUGCUUGAGCCGGCCCCAUAAAUAGGAAUCAGAAAUGGUUAAAUCAAGUGACCUUGGCGGUCACUCAAUUGGGCCGCGUUUUCCAUUUCGGAAAAGUUCUAUUCAACCAUUCUGCUACUCGAAUAGUGGAGUGCGCUGGACAGCCGUCGUGUUGAAAAUAAAGAGUUAUUCUUUGAUCAACUGGUAAAGGUUCGAGAGAUCCUUGAGGAGAUGGUCCAUUAAUACCUAAAUGAUUUAAUCUACUGAAGAAACUCAAUGAAGAAUUCCAAAAGCAAAUGAUGGCCGAGCAACAACCCGAACAUCCCCGGAUGUCCCAAUUCAGGAAAACCCCGUAUGUGUUUGACAUCGCCAAAUUGAAAAACGUCAAGCCGAUCGGUCAGGGUAAAUGUCUGGAUGAAAAUUCGAAUAUGAACAAUGCGACGAAACAACUUGGAGAAGCCAUCGGCAAAUUGCCCAAGUCCG
RNAcentral lists this unclassified non-coding RNA (10511 nucleotides) under Anthonomus grandis grandis. RNAcentral describes it as "uncharacterized LOC126733597". The record is from RNAcentral. Lineage: Eukaryota; Metazoa; Arthropoda; Insecta; Coleoptera; Curculionidae.